Molecule: non-coding RNA, 114 nt
Organism: Oncorhynchus mykiss (rainbow trout)
Lineage: Eukaryota; Metazoa; Chordata; Actinopteri; Salmoniformes; Salmonidae
Source: RefSeq, a predicted model, not a curated record
GAAAUACUGGAACAGAGAGAGAGGGAGGUGAGGUCAGACAGUAUCGUGUAGUAGAAUACUGGAACAGAGAGAGAGGGAGGUGAGGUCAGACAGUAUUGUGUAGUAGAAUACUGG